AGCGAACGCUGGCGGCGUGCCUAACACAUGCAAGUCGAACGUGAAAGGGAGCAAUCCCAAGUAAAGUGGCGUACGGGUGAGUAACACGUAGGUAAUCUACCCCAGAAUCUGGAAUAACCGGCCGAAAGGCUGGCUAAUACUGGAUAGAGCGACGGAAUCCGUAAUUGGGUUUUUCGGGAAAGGGAGCCUGUAAAAAGGCCUUCGUUCUGGGAUGAGCCUGCGUCCCAUCAGCUAGUUGGUGAGGUAAAAGCUUACCAAGGCAAUGACGGGUAGCUGGUCUGAGAGGACGAUCGGCCACACUGGAACUGAAACACGGUCCAGACUCCUACGGGAGGCAGCAGUGGGGAAUCUUGCGCAAUGGACGAAAGUCUGACGCAGCAACGCCGCGUGAGUGAAGAAGGCCUUCGGGUUGUAAAGCUCUGUCGAGUGGGACGAAAAUGCUUGGAGUUCACAGCUCCAGGAACUGACGGUACCACUAAAGGAAGCACCGGCUAACUCCGUG
RNAcentral lists this ribosomal RNA (502 nucleotides) under uncultured bacterium. RNAcentral describes it as "partial 16S ribosomal RNA". It matches the Rfam family "Bacterial small subunit ribosomal RNA", at positions 29 to 507 of the family's 1533-position model. The record is from RNAcentral.